GUUCGAGCGUCAUUUCACCACUCCAGCCUCGCUGGGUUUUGGGCGCCGCCGCGUUGGCGCGCCCCAAUGUCUCCGGCUGAGCCGUCCGUCUCAAAGCGUUGUGGCAACUCAAUCCGCUUGAGGGACCGGACGGAUCGACGCCGUUAAACACCCCACACAAGGUUGACCUCGGAUCAGGUAGGGAUACCCGCUGAACUUAA
Molecule: unclassified non-coding RNA, 200 nt
Filed under: soil metagenome
Description: partial contains internal transcribed spacer 2 and large subunit ribosomal RNA
Source: RNAcentral